Molecule: long non-coding RNA, 3108 nt
Filed under: Zea mays
Lineage: Eukaryota; Viridiplantae; Streptophyta; Magnoliopsida; Poales; Poaceae
Description: long non-coding RNA (ZMAY_LNC002289)
Source: RNAcentral
GUCAGCAUACUGUCAUGUGGGGCCUCGACAGGUUGGCAAUGGGUCACCUCCAGCUACAAAAGAGGGAGUUGUACAGGGAAACAGGCAUCGAAUAAUCAUUUUGAGAACCUAGACUCUAUCUUCCAACUACUGCUCAUCUUCUUCCUCCCUUCUCUCAUGUACCCGGAUUCUCUUCCUUCUAGAACACGACAGCUAUUGUGCUUCUCCAUUCUACUUCUCUUGCUGUUACCCUCCCUAAACUCCUCUCUGAUUGUACCAGAUUAUAUGCUUAGCGUUUUCAUGUUAUUGAGUUGAGUUCGUCAGAUUAGUGUUGUUAACAAUUGGUAUCAGAUUCGUUCGAUCCUCGGAGUUUUCUACCUCGAUCCGUCUUCCUCAACUUCACCGCAUCGACAUGUCGCUUGACACGGAGCUCAUCCUCGGUGCCAUCGGCAAGCUAUUCGACGACUUAAACGCUCGUUGGGAGCGCCGUCUUCCCAAGUUCUUGCCUGCACAGGAGGCCUCUCACGUCAUCUCCGUUCUGACCCCGACUACGACUGUUGGGGCCGCAAUCAUCGCCGACAACUGGGGCGGCGGCUUCAACGGAGGCGAGUACUCAUUCGAGCAGCACUGCGUGGUGCCAUCCAUCGUCGCCGACAACUGGGGCAGGCUCUUCGAUCGGCUCGGAGCAGUGCCUCGGCGUCCACGAUCCACUGCUAUGGAUUCAGAGUCCGUGUACCAGAACUGCAAGGAGUUGGAGUCAGAGUUCCUCACCUCCCUUGUCGCCCAUGCUCCCUCGCCCGAGGAGGCAAUGGUUGCGAUGGGCGCAGCCGCAGACGCGGGGGGCUUCGCGAGGUUCGACCCGCCCUCACCACUUGACCCCUACGACGACAUCGCUACCACCCAGGCCCUCUUCCCCGAGUUCAACGCCGUCCCUGCGGACGCGCUUGCUCGCCACGAGGACGACCGUGCUACCAUAUCCAACAACUCCUUCAGCAGAUCAGCGACAACCUCCUCAGCCUCGCCCAUGACUUCCCUGACCUCCACUCCACCUCAGGAUGGUGUUCCCGUCCUCUCCAUCUUCACCGUCGUUGUGGAUCCUGAGCACAACGUCACGCCGGACACGGAUGUGAGCUCUGGCAAGCCACUGAUGUCUUCUUCUUCAGCAUCAGCCACCGUCGCCACCAGCAAGCUGGCGUCACCCUUGAUUUGGACAGGCAUCACCCUUGAUUUGGACUGGAGUCACCCUUCCUCAAUGGCUCCCACGCCAUCACAGAAGGCUAUCCUCACCCUUGAUUUGGACAGGCGGCACAGUAUGCAGAAGGGCGCUUGCAACCUAUUCGAUGAAAUGCCCACGAGCGCCUGGAGGAUCCUCAACCCUGCGUUCCACCUCGAGAAGCUCAAGCUCAUGCUGCCGGUGUUUUCUACGUGUUGCGAAGAGCUUGUCAGCCGAUGGGCACAAGCACUUGGUCCUGACGGCUCGUGCGAGCGGGACGUGGACCCGGAGCUUCAGACACUCACCGGAGAUGUCAUCUCUCACACUGCGUUCGACAGCAGCUACCUCGAAGGAAGAAAGAUUUUACAUCUGCAGGUCGAGCAAGUUGAGCGCCUCAUGUCCAUCAUUGACAAGUUCACCGGGAUACAUGUCCUUGCCUACUAGAAACAACAGAAGGAUGUGUCAAAUCAAAACCGAGAUUGUGUCAAAUCUUCAUGUCUGAUUGGUAAAAGGAUGCAAGCUAUGAAAGAAGGUGAAAGUGACAAAGACGACCUGCUGGGCUUACUGUUGGAGUCAAAUGUGAGAGAGACCAAAGAGAACGGCAGCCUGCCCAGCCAAGGAAUGACCAUUGAAGACGUCAUGAACCCUGACGGCGUGAAUGUGCAGCUGCUAGUGAUGAUAUUCUCCAUGAAGGAUUGUAGAACUUUGAUAAUGGUGCAGCUGAAAUGGGAUCGAGAUGCCUACUCAUCAAGAUAUAUUAGUGAAGAUGGUGGUACCUACAAUAUGAACCCUAAGAUAUCAGAUUUUGGUAUCGCAAGAGGGAACCAAUAGGAAGCAAACACUAACCGAGUUGUUGGGACGUAUGGCUACAUGUUUCCUGAAUAUGCAAUCAAUGGACCUUUUUCAGUCAUGUAUGAUACAUACGGCCUUGGUGUUAUUGUGUUGGAGAUCAUAUGUGGUCUGCAAAUCACUUUGACUCACUCCACAAGUUUCCCUGGCCUAUUAGCUUAUACAUGGAGCCUAUGGAAUGGUGGCAGGGCAAUGGAUUUGGUGGACUCAUCCCUACUAGAAAGUUGCUCGGCAAGUGAAGCUCUGAGGUGUAUACACUUAGGACUCUUGUGUGUACAAGACAGUCCAAACAGUAGACCAUCCUUGUCAUUAGAGAUUUUGCUGGAGACUGGUACGAGUCGUCCUAGUUCUUGGCCAAAUUUUGUUUUGGGUGGUAUGCGUUCUGCAAUUGGUCACUAAAACCUCCAUGGCCACCUCUACGUCCACGACAAGAAUUUAUCUUCCUCCUUGUUAUUUGGUUGCUGCAAGCAGUCAGUUGUCUGCCAGUUUGUAUGAGGUGAUCCAACAAAUUGUUUCAGUACUCCUGCUAUCACAGUGAAGGGCCACAAUUCCUCUGCAAUGGUCAUCUUGCUGUUGAUUUGAGGUUGUCGAAAAGUACAAGAUAUUGGUACGCAUGGGUUCGGAUCAAAGGGCUCCAAUUCUAUGGCCAAGCCAGUGGAAUAUUCACCAUGUUUGCUAUGGUUCUAUGCACACUUGAGGAAGCUUAUUCACCAUUCAUAGUCAGCACUAUCAACGGCUUUGGGGCAAGCCGCAUUUCAAGCGGUGGGGACUGUCAGCAUACUAUCAUGUGGGGCCUCGACAGGUUGGCAAUGGGUCACCUCCAGCUACAAAAGAGGGAGCUGUACAGGGAAACAGGCAUCGAAUAAUCAUUUUGAGAACCUAGACUCUAUCUUCCAACUACUGCUCAUCUUCUUCCUCCCUUCUCUCAUGUACCCGGAUUCUCUUCCUUCUAGAACACGACAGCUAUUGUGCUUCUCCAUUCUACUUCUCUUGCUGUUACCCUCCCUAAACUCCUCUCUGAUUGUACCAGAUUAUAUGCUUAGCGUUUUCAUGUUAUUGAGUUGAGU